GAGGUAGGAGAAUCACUUGAAUCUGGGAGGUGGAGGUUGUAGUGAGCCCAGAUCAUGCCAUUGCACUCCAGCCUGGGCAACAAGAGUGAAACUCUGUCUCAAAAAAAAAAAAAAAAGAAUUUCAAUUACAGGUGUGCAGUUCACACCGGUAAUACCAGCACUUUGGGAAGCUGAGGCAGGUGGAUUGCUUGAGCCCAGAGUUUGAGAUCAGCCUGAGCGCCAUAGUGAGACCCCCAUCUCUAAAAUAGAAAGAAAGAGAGAGAGAGAGAGAGAGAGAAGAAAAGAAAGAAAGAAAGAAAGAAGGAAGGAAGGAAGGAGAGAGAGAGAGAGAGGGAGGGAGGGAAGGAUGGAAGGAAGGAGAAAGAAAGAGAGAGAGAAGAGAAAGCAAGAAAGCAAGAAAGAAAGAGGAAAGAAAUGUCCCAGCUACUAGGGAGGGUGACAUAGGAGAACUGCUUGAGCCCGGGAAGUUGAGGCUGCAGUGAGCCACAAUUGCGCCACUGCACUCCAGCCUGGACAACAAAACAAGACCCUAUCUCAUUAAAAAAAAAAAAAGAUACUUGAGAUAGGCCUUGAAGUGUGGUUAGGAUUGGUCAGGGGGAGACAGAUACUGAGACACAAAGAAGCUAUUAGCUGAAUUUGUGGAAGUUUAUCAUCCUUAGAGGGUUUUUCUUUGGUAGGGGAGGAAGUAGUUUGCUUUAUUUCAGCUAUUUUUGCUUUAUCCUAAGUGCAAUUGGGCUAAAGGGGGUUAUCUCUUCUGAAGAGAAAGCUUUCUAGUAAGCGGAGUAGGGUUACUUUUCAGUAACAGUAACACUAAGUAUAAAAUAACACAUUCAGAAAUUCAAUUCCACAAAAACAUAUGCCAUGCCUAAUUCGUAUAUGCUCUAUAGAGAGGAUUGCUGGGAGAAGUUGGAGAAUGAGGAAUGCACCAGAAGUCACAGGAUUGUACUGUUUGCAUUUAGCAAAAGGAAGUGAAGACCUUCUGCAGAAUGGUAAGAGUGCAAGACAGACAGAAAGCAAUCAAAUGGAAAUUCAGUUGGAAAGCAAAAGAUGACUCAAAAAACAAGACCCUCAACGGCAGCUUAUUAAUCUGGAUGUAAUUUUGACUCUGCCAAGAUACUGAAGGCUAAACUGAACUAUGAGAUGAGACAUUCUACUCCAUUCCAUCUCAUUUUUGGAAAGAUGAGGUGAGUCACUUGUACAAAAUCACUUGACCAAUUAGUGCCCGAACUAAGACUAGAAAACAGGUCAUUAGAUUCCUCUCUACAAUCUGCCCUAGGAAUUCUAUGGCCAAGUGUUGGUUUGGGGCACCCAGAGGACCCUGUACGAACUUCCUGCAGCCUUAAGCAUGGGGUUGAGGGAUGUGCCGAUUUCUUAGGUGGGGCUGGCGAAGUGUCUACCAUCUGACUUCAUGCAGCAGGAAAACGUCCUCCUUAGAACUAGAAUCCGAACUGCUGCUUCUUUUGAAUUUUGAAUCCCUGCCUUGUCCUCGUAAAGAAAACAGAAGUCAGUGGUGUGUCUCUUCUAUGCUGUGUUAGGUGUAAGCCCAUCACCAAGAAUAAAAAGCUACAGUAGGUGAAGUGGGAUUAAGACAGCCCAGGCAAAUCCGGAGGUUGGGCACUUGCAAUGGGGAACAGAGAAGCAGAAGGGCAAAUGCACUGCCAUCGCUGUGAUAGCUGCCUAAUGCUUCAUCUAUAGGCUUAUCUUUCUGUCUCACCACAGAAGAUCAGUGUCUCCCAGCACAGCGUACAGCCUGUGCCCAGACACUCAAAG
This is a long non-coding RNA of Macaca mulatta (Rhesus monkey), 1770 nucleotides long. The record is from Ensembl. Lineage: Eukaryota; Metazoa; Chordata; Mammalia; Primates; Cercopithecidae.